Non-coding RNA from Pelobates cultripes (western spadefoot toad), 265 nucleotides. NCBI's taxonomy places the organism in Eukaryota, Metazoa, Chordata, Amphibia, Anura, Pelobatidae. The record is from the annotation of a GenBank genome assembly.
CUGACAUCUCGUGCUAGUCUUUCUACUUAAAAUAGCUCUGUCACCUUCUGGAGUGUUUUCCUAAUUUGCAAACAGCCCCCAUGGUGACUUCAGCAUCUGAUGUGCAAUGACCACAGGGUUCAGGGGAAGGAAAGUUUUACUUUUCUGAAGCUCUUCCUCAUGGUCACCACCAUCUUCUUCUGUGGAAUCCUGUUCAGCUCCUGCUGUUCCAUCUGCCAGACGCCCAUAUACAUGCUGUAAUAUUGCGCAUAUGCAAGGACAGCAC